CAGUUGAACGAAAGCUUAUGCUUUAGUAGCGGACGGGUGAGUAAUACAUGAGAAUCUACCUUUGGGAGGGGACUAACAGUUGGAAACGGUUGCUAAUGCCCCAUAUGCUUACGAGUGAAAAGAGAAAUCUGCCCGAAGAUGAGCUCAUGCCUGAUUAGCUAGUUGGUAAGGUAAAGGCUUACCAAGGCAACGAUCAGUAGCUGGUUUGAGAGGAUGAUCAGCCACACUGGAACUGAGACACGGUCCAGACUUCUACGGAAGGCAGCAGUGGGGAAUUUUCCGCAAUGGGCGCAAGCCUGACGGAGCAAUACCGCGUGAAGGAUGAAUGCCUGUGGGUUGUAAACUUCUUUUAUUAGGGAAGAAAUAAUGACGGUACCUAAUGAAUAAGCAUCGGCUAACUUCGUGCCAGCAGCCGCGGUAAUACGGGGGAUGCAAGCGUUAUCCGGAAUUAUUGGGCGUAAAGAGUCUGUAGGUUGUUUAAUAAGUCUGCUGUUAAAUAUUAGAGCUUAACUCUAAGCAAGCAGUGGAAACUAUUAAGCUAGAGUAUGGUAGAGGCAAAGGGAAUUCCCAGUGUAGCGGUGAAAUGCGUAGAUAUUGGGAAGAACACCAGAAGCGAAAGCGCUCUGCUGGACCAUUACUGACACUCAGAGACGAAAGCUAGGGGAGCAAAUGGGAUUAGAUACCCCAGUAGUCCUAGCCGUAAACGAUGGAUACUAGAUGUUGCGCGUAUCGAUCCGUGCAGUAUCGUAGCUAACGCGUUAAGUAUCCCGCCUGGGAAGUAUGCUCGCAAGAGUGAAACUCAAAGGAAUU
This 810-nucleotide ribosomal RNA is filed under the name uncultured cyanobacterium. RNAcentral describes it as "bacterial SSU rRNA". It matches the Rfam family "Bacterial small subunit ribosomal RNA", at positions 59 to 911 of the family's 1533-position model. Lineage: Bacteria; Bacillati; Cyanobacteriota. The record is from RNAcentral.